UUUGCGUCAAAUUGGAACUUCUAAAACAUCCAGCACUGGGAACUAUCAGUGUGAGACAGCCAUUGUUGGACUACAAAAACCACGUCAUGGCUUCCUGGCCUCAGAGAGGAUGCAGCAGGGUGAGGGGAAGGGCGUGUGAUUCUGUAACUGGACCAGUGCAUGAACUCAAGGUCGAGGUCUAGCUAUGGGACGCAUGACAACUGGAAAGCAGUGCCCCACCCAGGCUGCUUGAAGCUGCAUCCACCAACCAAACCGGGCAAGGGCCAGAGUUGUCAGUCUGUGGAUCGGAAGAGAUUCAUGCUACAGGAUGACAGAGUGUGUCUGAUCAACUCCAAGUUUCUGGCAUCCGUCACCUGCCUGACUUCACAUACCUGCCCAUCACUUUGUCUUCGCGUGCACCCACAGAUAUUACCACUGAGGUAACAAUAAACAUCUGAUCUUACAGA
Molecule: long non-coding RNA, 446 nt
Filed under: Rattus norvegicus (Norway rat)
Lineage: Eukaryota; Metazoa; Chordata; Mammalia; Rodentia; Muridae
Description: long non-coding RNA NONRATT020833
Source: RNAcentral